GAUGAACGCUAGCUAUAGGCUUAACACAUGCAAGUCGAGGGGAAACGGCAUUAUGUGCUUGCACAUUCUGGACGUCGACCGGCGCACGGGUGAGUAUCGCGUAUCCAACCUUCCCUCCACUCGGGGAUACCCCGUUGAAAGACGGCCUAAUACCCGAUGUUGUCCACAGAUGGCAUCUGACGUGGACCAAAGAUUCAUCGGUGGAGGAUGGGGAUGCGUCUGAUUAGCUUGUUGGUGCGGGUAACGGCCCACCAAGGCGACGAUCAGUAGGGGUUCUGAGAGGAAGGUCCCCCACAUUGGAACUGAGACACGGUCCAAACUCCUACGGGAGGCAGCAGUGAGGAAUAUUGGUCAAUGGACGUAAGUCUGAACCAGCCAAAGUAGCGUGCAGGAUUGACGGGCCCCUAUGGGUUGUAAAACUGCUUUUGG
RNAcentral lists this ribosomal RNA (429 nucleotides) under Prevotella intermedia. RNAcentral describes it as "bacterial SSU rRNA". It matches the Rfam family "Bacterial small subunit ribosomal RNA", at positions 28 to 439 of the family's 1533-position model. Lineage: Bacteria; Pseudomonadati; Bacteroidota; Bacteroidia; Bacteroidales; Prevotellaceae. The record is from RNAcentral.